RNAcentral lists this long non-coding RNA (5448 nucleotides) under Lactuca sativa (garden lettuce). RNAcentral describes it as "long non-coding RNA (LSAT_LNC008318)". The record is from RNAcentral. Lineage: Eukaryota; Viridiplantae; Streptophyta; Magnoliopsida; Asterales; Asteraceae.
UCUAUGCUCGGUGAAAGAUUUUAUACAUGUUUUAAAUGAUUUAAACUAUAUAUGUAUUUUAUAUCUACGAAAAUGUUAGGGUAAAACAUGGGUAGAUAUAAUAGAUGAAAUAUGAGUUGAGAGGUGAUAUAGACCAUGAGGUAUGGGUGAGAGGUGUACGAUGUGAGAAGCCUUUUUCCCAAACGAUGUCCCCGUCUAGCAGAGUAUGGAUGACAACCACGGACUAUUCUAGACAGUCCAGUGGAGCACUAGCAGGCUCGCAACCUGUAGGUGUUGUGAACGAUGUGUUCACCCGGUGUACUCUAAACCUUGGUGACCAUGCAGACUUGGUGCCUAAACCUUGGUGAUCAUGCAGACUUGAUGCCUAAACCCUGGCGACUAUGCAGACUUAGUGCCUAAACCCUGGCGACUAUGCAGACUUAGUGCCCGUUGUGUAAACCAUGGCAACGAUGGACUUCGUGCCGAUUCCUUUGGAUGAUCCUUAGGAAUGAAUGAACGAGGAAUAGCUGAUUCUUAGGGUAGAUCCUUAAGAAUAGAGAAUAUAAUGGGGAUGGGUAAUGGGGUUUAAUUGCUUGAUUGUUUAAACAUAAUAAUUAUAUUAUUGUGGGUUGAAAACCCUGUGUACUCACCAGGUUUCCCAACCUGACCCACUCAGUUUAUUUAUAUCACAGGUGUUGAUAUGAAGUCACAUUACACUGAGAGAUUUAAAGAGAUGUAGAUCACUAGUGUAAAUAAAUGUAAGUUCUGUUUAUGCUUAUGUUUCUGUAUUAACGAUGACAUCCCAAACGUUUUAAAAUGAAAUAAAUACGUUUCUUCGAAAAUGUUUUAAUAACGUAUUUACCAUGUUUUUCUGGGAACAAAUUCCGCAACAUUUUUAUAAAAAGAAGUACUCUGAUUUUUAUAAAGCAUAAACAAAAUCGGUCUUUUCUGGCCGUGAAAAUGGGGAUGUCACAGUUGGUAUCAGAGCAUUAGUUUAAGCGAACUAGGAAUUUGUAGGAAAUUUCUAGACUUAAACUUAGAAUGCUAAGUGAUAAUUGUGAGGAGUGUGUCAAAUAGAUUUAAGUAAUACAUCUGAAUAGACACAAGCACUAGCUUAUUUUAGGAAUGAUGCCUAAAUCGCUUUUAUGUGCUAAAUGAUUUGUUAUGCUAUAGUUUGAUCGGAUCUAUGGUCUGUUGCCGACCGGAUCUGGAAACCUUAUGUGUUUAGGAUUCUAAACGUACGACUACGAUAUUAGAACUAGCAUGUAAACGUUUCGGAGUGAUAAGGAUGAUUUAAACGUCAAUCCUAAAUAAAGAUCUAGAUUCACCUUAUUCGGUGUAUAGAUCAAGAUGGCAAGGACCCGUAGCGGAAACGUGAAUACAAAUGGGAACCGAAACCAACCCCCAGUGAUUGAGCAAAUACCAGUUGUGGUGGCCGCUGUUGAGCCAAUAACGAUGGCCAGAGUGCAAGCGAUGAUCCAUGUGUUGUUGGAUCGUCAAAUGGAGGAAACCAGACGUUUGCUCCAGCAAAAUCGAGAGGAAGCGACCAUACAGAUUGAACAGCCCGAGUUGAAGAAGGGCAGACUGAGGAGGGAAACUACAGUGGGACUGUUGGUCAAGCCAACCCACCGAUAGUUAGGCAAAACCACCAGGAUGGAGGAAAUGAUGGACGUGGAUGCAAAUACAAGGAUUUCAUGGCGUCCAAACCACCGAGUCUAUCUAGAAGCCCGAUGCCGGUGGAAGUCAUGAACUGGAUCUCUGAUAUGGAGACGAUGUUUGAGAGUUGCGAGUGUAGCAACAAGCAGAAGACCCCUCUCGCGGUUUCUUUAUUGAAAUCUGGAGUACUAAGGUGGUGGAAGCUACUAGCCAAUUCGAUGCCCAAAGGAGAAGCGAGCAAGAUGUCAUGGGAGGAUUUUUUGGUGCAGUUAAAAAUGCAGUACUGCUCUGAGCGGGAUCUUCUGGAGAUCAACAACGAGUUUCAGAAUCUAAAGAAGGGAAAGAUGAGUGUCAUCGAGUAUGCUGCAAGUUUUACGGAGAAAAUGAAGCUUGUUCCUUAUCUAGUUCCAACUGAACUCUCCAAGGUCAAUAAGUUUGCCCAUGGAUUACCAGCAGACUUUGGUCCAAUGGUCANCAACCACUUUGAAAGCUUCCAUCUGGGCAGCUAGGAAUGUUGAGACCCAGAUUAGGGAAAAGGGUCUGGAGAGAGCUAAAGUUGGCGAGAAAAGGAAGCAUGAAGGAUCUUCAAAAUCCAAUAAGGAAAAGAAAUUCUCAAAGACUGAAAAAGGAGGAGGAGGUGAAACCAAGUAGUGCGAGAAGUGUAAAAAGAAGCACUUCAAGAAAUGUAGCGAGGAGGUGACUUGCUACAAAUGUAACAAGACAGAGCAUUACGCCAGCAAGUGUGCGUCCAACAAGAAGGUGUGUUAUGGAUGAAAAAAGAAGGGCAUAUUUCUAGGGACUGCCCGGGGAAAAAUAAAGCAGUAAGACCAGAAACGCCACCGAGGCCAAGGGCAUUCCACAUGAUCCUCGACGAAGCAGGAAACCGUGCGAGGAAUCAAGGAUGAGGACUUCAUAUUCGAAGAUCAAGUCAUGCAGUAGCCAUAGUAUCGUAUGAUGUAGCCUAUUAGAGGCAUAAUCUAGGGUGAACUUGAACACCUAUGUAAUAGUUUCAAGAAAUAAUAAAACCUUUAUUUUGUUAUCUGAUGUGUUAAGCUGUUAUGUGAUUUUCUUGGAUUAUGACUUGGAAAAAUGCGAGACAAUACUUGGGACGAGUAUAAGUAGGUGUGAAAGGUAGUAGAUGCAUAUACUACCGGAAGCAUAAGACUCACACUUGGAUCAGGGAAAGUCACAAGGUAACCAAGAAGCCAAUAAUUGAUUAUGUUUUAUUCAAGCAUGUCGUUACCAUCGUUUCGGUAAUGACUAAGAAGAUUGUUGUUAUCCCGACCCUAGUGGUCAUAUCGAAUUGAGUCCAACUACAAUAAGUAUGUUACGUGGUUCAGAGAACUAAGUUCGAUGUAGCACCCGUCUUAAGCCGGAAGGAAUAAUCAAAGCGGUCAGUAGAAGUAUCGCGACGGUUGCUAGAUAUGCUACCUUUUAAGAUGUGAUUAGAACAUGAAGGUAGGUAUUUGACUCUAAAAGACCUGAGUCCAAGCAAUACAUCAUACGAUGAGAGGUCAUUAGAACAUGACUCAUAGGUCUAUUAUGAUAAUCGAAGGAAGAAAAUUAUCUCAAGUUUAAAGAAGUCUCCAAUAAAGAUCAAGAUCGUGACAUGAAGAUCAUGACUGAAAGUCUAACAUGAGAUAAAGAGUAGGUCUAAUAUCGGGCACCGCCUGCAGUCAGGAAGUCUUAGAUUUAGAUACUCAUUCGAAGAAACAUCAAUGUUACGAUUAUUACUUAGGGUGAAGAGAUAACGUAUGUAGUCAUCAUGUGAGCCCUGUUUCGUUGAUGGUUUUGGGACGUAAUCAUCCUAAGGGGGAGAUAAUUGCAACGCCCGUAGAUCCAGGCUAGUCAAUUUACAAAUAAUAGGGAUCGAAAAUGAAUUUUCGACAAAAGAUUAUUUAGAAUAAAUAAUUUGAACCAAGUUAUAGUAUAUUUCACAAGGUUUCCAUGCAUAUAAAGAACGCCGAAAUCCGAGUUAUAACGAAGAACUUUUGACUCGUCAAAGUUUCGCGACGGAACCGGCAUGGCACUGGGAAGCGUAAAUAGUGAAUUUAUGAUAGAUCAAGUUUUAGCCUUAGCGAUAUAAAUGAAAAUCAUAGAGCAUGUUAAACUAAGAACAUCGAUAAAAAUAACGCCCAAAUCUGACUUCGUAUGAAGAAGUUAUCAUUUUUCGAAGUUUCGGAUUAGCGGUGUACAGCCCGAAAUUCGAAUAUUAGAUCGAGUGAUUUUUAGCCGACACGACCUAAACGAGAAUCGAAGAUCUUGUUAAGAGUAGCGUAACGAGAAAAAGAUGGGCAAAAACGGACGUCGGAUGAAGAAGUUAUGAGGAUUUAACGGACCAAUCAUGUCCCGGCCUGUUAAUAAUAUAAAAUUUAAAAAUCGAGUCAAAAUUAGCCGACGGAGUCUAAACGAAAGUUGUCGAGUACGUUCCCACCUUCGUGUGGAUAUAAAGAACGUCAAAAAUGGAGACCGUACGCAAAAGUUACGAAUUUUUAAAUUUGAGUGUGCAAUCUGCAAAGCCUGAUAAGAACUUGGUGACGUGGCGCGUUGUGGGCCGUCCAUCGUUGAUCAAAGGACGCUUCGGAUUCGGACAUGCCACCCUUCGCUACGCCCCGCGUCCGAGGUUGGUAUGCCCAGCGUACCUUCGCGCCUUAUCCAUUCGACGAAGAUGCGAGACAGCUAGACCGAGGCUAGCAUUCUUAUCCGAGCACUACGCCGAGCGUAGCCAAGGACUACGCCCAGCGUAAUCCGAGGCCUCGUUGGGUACAAAAGGGGGACGAGGGUUCCGCAUUUUUCACAACUUUCUUCACUCUCUCUCUAACUUCUUUCUCUCUCUAAGUUUCCUAAACACUCCUAAACCCUAGGGAAUCUCCCUAGCACGCGAAGGAAGCCCCGAGGCUCCCGGAGUCCCGAGAAAAAGGGUCUUUCGGUUUCGAAACGCUGCUCCAAAUAAAGUUUCGGUUUUCGAUAAAAUUCAUUGUAAGUGAGCUACGCUUACGCAAUUUUUAACAUAGCUUCCAAAUAAUUAUAGUAAUGUUAUUAGGUCCUUAAAAUAAUUAUUUGGGCUAUUAUUAUGAGUUAUAUUGAGUGUUAUUUAAUGCUUAUAUAAUAAUAAUAAUAAUAAUAAUAAUAAUAAUAAUAAUAAUAAUAAUAAUAAUANNNNNNNNNNNNNNNNNNNNAUAAUAAUAAUAAUAGUCAGACUAUUAAUUUGUCGCGGUUAUCGUUAGACUAAACCCUAGUGGUGUUGAUACUAGGUUUUAUCGAAGGAAAAUUGUUUUGAGAGUAUCGAAGCGUUGUCCGAGUGCUGAGUCACCACCUUUCAGGUGAGUGCAUGGUCCCCUUCAACUUACACAUAGAUAUGAAGUAUUUACUACGUGCUAUGUGUGCAUAUUGUCUGUUUACUUGCUGUCUAUGCUCGGUGAAAGAUUUUAUACAUGUUUUAAAUGAUUUAAACUAUAUAUGUAUUUUAUAUCUACGAAAAUGUUGGGGUAAAACAUGCGUAGAUAUAAUAGAUGAAAUAUGAGUUGGACGAUGAGUUGAGAGGUGAUAUAGACCAUGAGGUAUGGGUGAGAGGUGUACGAUGUAAGAAGCCUUUUUCCCAAACGAUGUCCCCAUAAUGCAGAGUAUGGAUGACAACCACGGACUAUUCUAGACAGUCUAGUGGAGCACUAGCAGGCUCGCAACCUGUAGGUGUUGUGAACGAUGUGUUCACCUGGUGUACUCUAAACCUUGGUGACCAUGCAGACUUGGUGCCUAAACCUUGGUGAUCAUGCAGACUUGAUGCCUAAACCCUGGCAACUAUGCAGACUUAGU